ACAGGAGCUUGCUCCUGGGUGACGAGCGGCGGACGGGUGAGUAAUGUCUGGGAAACUGCCCGAUGGAGGGGGAUAACUACUGGAAACGGUAGCUAAUACCGCAUAACGUCUUCGGACCAAAGUGGGGGACCUUCGGGCCUCACACCAUCGGAUGUGCCCAGAUGGGAUUAGCUAGUAGGUGAGGUAAUGGCUCACCUAGGCGACGAUCCCUAGCUGGUCUGAGAGGAUGACCAGCCACACUGGAACUGAGACACGGUCCAGACUCCUACGGGAGGCAGCAGUGGGGAAUAUUGCACAAUGGGCGCAAGCCUGAUGCAGCCAUGCCGCGUGUGUGAAGAAGGCCUUCGGGUUGUAAAGCACUUUCAGCGAGGAGGAAGGGUUCAGUGUUAAUAGCACUGUUCAUUGACGUUACUCGCAGAAGAAGCACCGGCUAACUCCGUGCCAGCAGCCGCGGUAAUACGGAGGGUGCAAGCGUUAAUCGGAAUUACUGGGCGUAAAGCGCACGCAGGCGGUUUGUUAAGUCAGAUGUGAAAUCCCCGAGCUUAACUUGGGAACUGCAUUUGAAACUGGCAAGCUAGAGUCUUGUAGAGGGGGGUAGAAUUCCAGGUGUAGCGGUGAAAUGCGUAGAGAUCUGGAGGAAUACCGGUGGCGAAGGCGGCCCCCUGGACAAAGACUGACGCUCAGGUGCGAAAGCGUGGGGAGCAAACAGGAU
This 712-nucleotide ribosomal RNA is filed under the name Serratia sp. 28ANAIII. RNAcentral describes it as "bacterial SSU rRNA". It matches the Rfam family "Bacterial small subunit ribosomal RNA", at positions 72 to 778 of the family's 1533-position model. Lineage: Bacteria; Pseudomonadati; Pseudomonadota; Gammaproteobacteria; Enterobacterales; Yersiniaceae. The record is from RNAcentral.